UACAGAGGGUGCAAGCGUUAAUCGGAAUUACUGGGCGUAAAGGGCCUGUAGGUGGUUAUGUAAGUCUGAUGUGAAAGACCUGGGCUUAACCUGGGAGUGUCAUUGGAAACUGCAUGACUAGAGGCGAGUAGAGGGGAGUGGAAUUUCCGGAGUAGCGGUGAAAUGCGUAGAUAUCGGAAGGAACACCAGUGGCGAAGGCGACUCCCUGGGCUCGUACUGACACUGAGAGGCGAAAGCGUGGGUAGCGAACAGG
Molecule: unclassified non-coding RNA, 253 nt
Filed under: uncultured Gammaproteobacteria bacterium
Lineage: Bacteria; Pseudomonadati; Pseudomonadota; Gammaproteobacteria
Description: contains 16S-23S intergenic spacer region
Rfam family: Bacterial small subunit ribosomal RNA
Source: RNAcentral